UAAUACCGGAUACUCCUUCUUGUUAUAAGACAAGUCGGGAAAGUUUUUCGCUAAGGGAUCAGUCUAUGUUCCAUCAGCUUGUUGGUGAGGUAAUGGCUCACCAAGGCUAUGACGGAUAUCUGGUUUGAGAGGAUGAUCAGACACACUGGAACUGAGACACGGUCCAGACUCCUACGGGAGGCAGCAGUGAGGAAUAUUGCACAAUGGAGGAAACUCUGAUGCAGCAACGCCGCGUGGAGGAUGACGCAUUUCGGUGUGUAAACUCCUUUUAUUAGGGAAGAUAAUGACGGUACCUAAUGAAUAAGCACCGGCUAACUCCGUGCCAGCAGCCGCGGUAAUACGGAGGGUGCAAGCGUUACUCGGAAUCACUGGGCGUAAAGGGUGCGUAGGCUGGCUUUUAAGUCAGAUGUGAAAUCCAAUGGCUCAACCAUUGAACUGCAUUUGAAACUGAAAGCCUAGAGUUCAGAAGGGGCAGAUGGAAUUAGUGGUGUAGGGGUAAAAUCCGUAGAUAUCACUAGGAAUAUCAAAAGCGAAGGCGAUCUGCUGGGAUGAUACUGACG
This 560-nucleotide ribosomal RNA is filed under the name uncultured bacterium. RNAcentral describes it as "bacterial SSU rRNA". It matches the Rfam family "Bacterial small subunit ribosomal RNA", at positions 164 to 745 of the family's 1533-position model. The record is from RNAcentral.